This is a long non-coding RNA of Mizuhopecten yessoensis (Yesso scallop), 233 nucleotides long. RefSeq lists it as uncharacterized. The transcript is spliced from 3 exons. Lineage: Eukaryota; Metazoa; Mollusca; Bivalvia; Pectinida; Pectinidae. The record is from RefSeq and is a predicted model, not a curated record.
UGUUCAUGUAUUGUGUCGUUUUGGUUCACGUGGUUGUGGUCAGUUUUGUUCGUGUUUGGCGGGAGUUAAAUAGAGGCAGCCAUUGCCGACAGGCGGACAGAUGACAGUGUCGUUUUGAUACAGAUUUUAGCUGAUACAUUGUCCUGGUAAUCCAGACGAAAUUCUUACUAAGACCCUUGACCCAUUGUCAGGGGUCUUUUCUGUAUCAUUAAAUAAAAGACCGGAACCUGAAA